AGAUGUUGGGUUAAGUCCCGCAACGAGCGCAACCCUGACCUUAGUUGCCAGCAUUCAGUUGGGCACUCUAAGGUGACUGCCGGCUAAAAGUCGGAGGAAGUGGGGAUGACGUCAAAUCAUCAUGCCCCUUAUGACCUGGGCUACACACGUGCUACAAUGGGCGGUACAAAGGGUCGCGAACCCGCGAGGGGGAGCCAAUCCCAAAAAGCCGCUCUCAGUUCGGAUUGCAGGCUGCAACUCGCCUGCAUGAAGCCGGAAUCGCUAGUAAUCGCGGAUCAGCAUGCCCGCGGUCGAAUACGUUCCGGGCCUU
RNAcentral lists this ribosomal RNA (310 nucleotides) under uncultured Anoxybacillus sp. RNAcentral describes it as "bacterial SSU rRNA". It matches the Rfam family "Bacterial small subunit ribosomal RNA", at positions 1070 to 1382 of the family's 1533-position model. Lineage: Bacteria; Bacillati; Bacillota; Bacilli; Caryophanales; Anoxybacillaceae. The record is from RNAcentral.